UACGUAGGAUGCAAGCGUUGUCCGGAAUCACUGGGCGUAAAGGGUCCGUAGGCGGUUUGUUAAGUCUCCUGUGAAAGUUCAAGGCUCAACCUUGAAAUGUCGGGGGAUACUGGCAAACUUGAGACUGUCAGAGGCAAGUGGAAUUCCCGGUGUAGUGGUGAAAUGCGUAGAUAUCGGGAGGAACACCAGUGGCGAAAGCGGCUUGCUGGGACAGUUCUGACGCUGAGGGACGAAAGCGUGGGUAGCAAACCGG
RNAcentral lists this ribosomal RNA (253 nucleotides) under uncultured bacterium. Its description in RNAcentral is "partial 16S ribosomal RNA". It matches the Rfam family "Bacterial small subunit ribosomal RNA", at positions 524 to 776 of the family's 1533-position model. The record is from RNAcentral.